UCAGGACGAACGCUGGCGGCGUGCUUAACACAUGCAAGUCGAACGAUGAACCGGCUUCGGCUGGGGAUUAGUGGCGAACGGGUGAGUAACACGUGGGCAAUCUGCCCUGCACUCUGGGACAAGCCCUGGAAACGGGGUCUAAUACCGGAUAUGACCUGGUGAGGCAUCUCAUCGGGUGGAAAGCUCCGGCGGUGCAGGAUGAGCCCGCGGCCUAUCAGCUUGUUGGUGGGGUGAUGGCCUACCAAGGCGACGACGGGUAGCCGGCCUGAGAGGGCGACCGGCCACACUGGGACUGAGACACGGCCCAGACUCCUACGGGAGGCAGCAGUGGGGAAUAUUGCACAAUGGGCGAAAGCCUGAUGCAGCGACGCCGCGUGAGGGAUGACGGCCUUCGGGUUGUAAACCUCUUUCAGCAGGGAAGAAGCGCAAGUGACGGUACCUGCAGAAGAAGCGCCGGCUAACUACGUGCCAGCAGCCGCGGUAAUACGUAGGGCGCAAGCGUUGUCCGGAAUUAUUGGGCGUAAAGAGCUCGUAGGCGGCUUGUCACGUCGGAUGUGAAAGCCCGGGGCUUAACCCCGGGUCUGCAUUCGAUACGGGCAGGCUAGAGUUCGGUAGGGGAGAUCGGAAUUCCUGGUGUAGCGGUGAAAUGCGCAGAUAUCAGGAGGAACACCGGUGGCGAAGGCGGAUCUCUGGGCCGAUACUGAC
RNAcentral lists this ribosomal RNA (705 nucleotides) under Streptomyces sp. P3878. Its description in RNAcentral is "bacterial SSU rRNA". It matches the Rfam family "Bacterial small subunit ribosomal RNA", at positions 24 to 744 of the family's 1533-position model. The record is from RNAcentral. Lineage: Bacteria; Bacillati; Actinomycetota; Actinomycetes; Kitasatosporales; Streptomycetaceae.